GAUGAACGCUAGCGGCAGGCUUAACACAUGCAAGUCGAGGGGUAUAGUUCUUCGGAGCUAGAGACCGGCGCACGGGUGCGUAACGCGUAUGCAAUCUACCUUCUACAGAGGGAUAGCCCAGAGAAAUUUGGAUUAAUACCUCAUAGUAUGUGAGAAUCGCAUGGUUUUCACAUUAAAGUUCCAACGGUAAAAGAUGAGCAUGCGUUCCAUUAGCUAGAUGGUAAGGUAACGGCUUACCAUGGCGACGAUGGGUAGGGGUCCUGAGAGGGAGAUCCCCCACACUGGUACUGAGACACGGACCAGACUCCUACGGGAGGCAGCAGUGAGGAAUAUUGGACAAUGGGCGCAAGCCUGAUCCAGCCAUGCCGCGUGCAGGAUGACGGUCCUAUGGAUUGUAAACUGCUUUUGUACAGGAAGAAACACUCCCUCGUGAGGGAGCUUGACGGUACUGUAAGAAUAAGGAUCGGCUAACUCCGUGCCAG
RNAcentral lists this ribosomal RNA (482 nucleotides) under uncultured bacterium. RNAcentral's name for it is "bacterial SSU rRNA". It matches the Rfam family "Bacterial small subunit ribosomal RNA", at positions 28 to 511 of the family's 1533-position model. The record is from RNAcentral.